Long non-coding RNA from Apus apus (common swift), 610 nucleotides. RefSeq lists it as uncharacterized. The transcript has 3 exons. NCBI's taxonomy places the organism in Eukaryota, Metazoa, Chordata, Aves, Apodiformes, Apodidae. The record is from RefSeq and is a predicted model, not a curated record.
GCCGAGCGGCCCUCGCCCCCCGGCCUGGCUUUGGCAAAGCCGCGGGCGGUGACAGGAGCCGCUUUCCCGGUGGCGGCCGUCGGUGCAGAGUCACAUCAAACCAUCUACAAGUCACCUCCCUUGCCUUUCUGGACCAUCCGCAGCAGAGCCUGGGAAGAGUUUCUGCCUAUGAUUCUCAGAGGAAUCUCCACUGAACCCAGCACUUCACUCCAGAUGUGGCAAGGGAAGAAAAUAAUCUGCAAAGUGCAAGGCUGACACCUGGAGGGGACUGCUGCGAUGCAGCCAGGGGAGGCUGGAGGAGACAGGGAUUCUGCAACAUGCAGCUUGGGUUGGGAAAGGUCAGAGGAGGUGGCAACAUCCCAGGGUUUGGAACUGCGCUGUUCUAGUGAAGGGUUGCUUCAGCUUUUCUUCCCUCUCCCCUUUUACAACAAUAAAGAAAAAUACAGCUUUCUAUUUCAGAUUUUCCAUGUUUAAUUUUAGCAGUGGAGAAAAGCACUGAAGCAAACUCUGUGUUCAUCUAGUUACUCACUUCUUCCAUGUUCAGGAAUAUUUGGAUCAAAACUUACCUUGCUCAAUAAGAUGCUACAAAUAACACAAGGUUAUUUUUUCA